Molecule: ribosomal RNA, 630 nt
Filed under: uncultured Russulaceae
Lineage: Eukaryota; Fungi; Basidiomycota; Agaricomycetes; Russulales; Russulaceae
Description: LSU rRNA
Rfam family: Eukaryotic large subunit ribosomal RNA
Source: RNAcentral
UAAGCGGAGGAAAAGAAACUAACAAGGAUUCCCCUAGUAACUGCGAGUGAAGCGGGAAAAGCUCAAAUUUGGAAUCUGGUGGUCUUUGGCCAUCCGAGUUGUAAUUUAGAGAAGCGUCUUCCGCGCUGGACCGUGCACAAGUCUCCUGGAAUGGAGCGUCAUAGAGGGUGAGAAUCCCGUCUUUGGCAUGGAAUCCCAGGGCUUCUGUGAUGCGCUCUCGACGAGUCGAGUUGUUUGGGAAUGCAGCUCAAAAUGGGUGGUGAACUCCAUCUAAAGCUAAAUAUUGGCGAGAGACCGAUAGCGAACAAGUACCGUGAGGGAAAGAUGAAAAGCACUUUGGAAAGAGAGUGAAACAGUACGUGAAAUUGUUGAAAGGGAAACGCUUGAAGUCAGUCGCGUCGACCGAGACUCAGCCUUGCCUCGGCUUGGUGUACUUCUCGGCUUGACGGGUCAGCAUCGAUUUCAAUCCUCGGAUAAUGGCAAGGGAAAGGUAGCACCUUUUUAGGUGUGUUAUAGUCCUCUGUCGCAUGCGAGGGUCGGGAUCGAGGAACUCAGCACGCACCUCAGGGUGUCGGGGCCUUGGCCCACGUUUACGUGCUUAGGAUGCUGGCGUAAUGGCUUUAAACGACC